Molecule: non-coding RNA, 2407 nt
Organism: Durio zibethinus
Lineage: Eukaryota; Viridiplantae; Streptophyta; Magnoliopsida; Malvales; Malvaceae
Source: RefSeq, a predicted model, not a curated record
AACAGCGUGUAGCUGCAAUAGUCAUAAAUAAAUUAUAGAUUUUUCGUUUCCAAAAUCUCACGUAUAAUGAGAUGAGAAUAGGAGAAUUAUAAUGCAAGUUGAGUUGCCGACGUGUAUAUGGGCCCCUCAAAUAAAAUCUUCAAGACGUGGCAAAAUUAUGUUAUGGUUUAAACUUUAAACAAAACAUAAUUGGCGUCUGUCGUUUUCUACACCAAAAUAAUACUCAUUAAUUUUCCCACAAAAGAUAUGGAACGGGACACAUCAAAGUACAACUGUCAAACAGUUUCUUAGCUCAACAUCUUCUUCCACGUGGCACCUAAUUUGAAAACCUGCCAAAUUGAGCUAACACUCGGAGGCUGGCCAUUGGUUACUACUUUCUAGGCUUCUCUACUCCAAACUCUAAAAGUCUAAAACCAGACGGUCAACUGGUUGGUUUGUUUGUGUUGUCCACUCCUUAGUUGUCUCCUUAGCAUUAUAACUUGGAAGCUUCGCUUCUUUGUUUUUCUUUCUCCUUAUCCUUUUCAUCGUUUCCAGUGUCUCUACUAACUAUUUGGUGAGCAAGAGGCUGAAGAGAAGAGGGUUAAUAAUGAUGGGAAAGAAGACUUAUUUGGCAAUGAAGACUGAGCAAGAAGCAAGUGAUCUGAUCAGUUCUGAUUUCAAAGAGCUAGUCUUUGCUGCUAAAAAGCUUGCUAAUCAUGCCAUCAAGUUGGGUUCUUUGGGACUUGGGACUUCAUUUCUUGAAUGGAUCGCUUCCUUUGCUGCAAUUUAUUUAUUGAUCUUGGACCGAACAAAUUGGAAAACAAAUAUUCUUACAGCACUAUUAAUCCCAUAUAUCUUCUUGAGUCUUCCUUCCAUAUUGUUCAGCAUCUUCAGUGGAGAGGUCGGAAAAUGGAUUGCUUUUGUUGCAGUUGUUUUGCGCUUGUUCUUCCCUAGACGUUUCCCAGAUUGGCUGGAACUGCCCGCUGCUUUGAUUCUUAUAAUAGUGGUGGCUCCUAGCUUAUUCUCAAGCACUAUAAGAAGCAGCUGGGUUGGUGAGGUAAUAUGCCUUGCCAUUGCUUGUUACCUACUUCAGGAACACAUCAGGGCAUCAGGUGGGUUUCGGAAUUCUUUCACAAAAGCGCAUGGGAUAUCCAACACAAUUGGCAUAAUUCUUCUGCUAGUCUACCCUGCUUGGGCUUUGGCAAUAGACAUCCUGUAGGUUCAAGAUCAGCAGUUCGUGGAUUGUGUUUUCCUGUAACCAUUAAUUUGUUGAGACAUACAAAUUCAUUGUCAUUAUUGUGCCAUAAGACAUGGUUUUGCUUUGCUCUUUGCUUUGUGCAUUUGUAAGAAUUCCUCAUUUGAAGGACUUAUAGUAAUAUUUUAUUAUUGUUGUAGAAAAAUGUAGUAAAAGUUAUGGGAAACUAUGAAUAAUCCAAGACAGAGAAGCUUGAGAAACUCAUGUUCAGCAGGGGCAACAUGCCAUGCAUGAUGCUUAGAUAUUGUGGCCCAAACAACAUGGAAAUGAUGCAUAUGGGCCUAGUUCUUGCAGCAAGGGCCAUUUAAUGGUCAAAGGCGGUAAAAAAGAAGCCUAUUUUUGCGCCGGUGGUCAAGGGCGCGCAGUCUUCGACGGCCAUAUUUUUUGGCCUUUAAAAGAAAGCGAGGGUUACUGUUCCCGCUUAGAUUAGAUUUCCUUUUUCCUCUCACUAUUCCGUUCUUUUCUUUUCUUCUUUUUAUAAAAUCCAGUUUUUGUUUCUCUGCUGCGAUUUCGAGGAUGUUAUUGUAAUUGGUCCUCUUAUUGUGAAAUAUUUUACUAUGCAUAUUUCAGGGACUGAAAGUCUGGAUUGUUUGCUAUAGAUUGAUGGCUGAAGCUGACAGCUCCUGCUCAAACUGCUGUCUUGUGUAAUGACAUGGUUAAGUGUUGAAGACGUGGUUUAGAAUGUGGCUGAAGAUGUUGGAUAUGAGAUUGGCUAGAAACACCCUCUGCUUUGAUUCAUCUGAUGGUAGUGACUCCUGGUCUUUUUUCAAGCUUUAUAAGAAACAGCUGGAUUGGUGUGAUAAACAGAAACAAGUUUCAGCAACUACUGGUAAUCGAUGGCACAGCUGAGUAUCAGGUUCUUGCUCUCGGAACUGCUCUUAUACCUUUGGCCCCUUUGCUUCACUGUACAGUUGAUCAAUUCGAUCCUGCAGAUGAUGUUGGAAAAAAGGGAUAGAAAAGAAUACCUUGUAGUAUUUGAGCAGUUGCGGCCUCUUCAGUUUAAAUGUUGGGGUUACCAGAUCCCUCUCAAUGUCAAAGGGAUUCGGCUCCAAGAACACUGCUUUUAACAUCUCAAAGCCUCUAAGCUGUUAUAAAGCAACAUACCGACGCUAUAAGGGGGCAACGUGAGUAUGUAUUCUCAACAUUCUCCACAGCAACAUAUUCACCUUGAGA